CUUGUGCAGAUUCAGCACAGGUACUCCCAGCUGCUGUGAAUUCUUGAUUGCAAAGGAUGUAUCUAACCCUCCCAGCCCUUCUCCCUUUAUACACGCUUUAAUCUCGAGCUGCCGAACUCCAAAUCUUGUAAGAUUAGUGUUCAGCGGAUAAAGCAAAACAAAGCAAAAUCAACAACAAAAAACAACGAAGGCAUACCAUUGCUCCCUCCAGAAAUACAGCAAACAGGACUGAAAAGAAUGUUUCCAAAAACUUGGGCUAAGAAUCAUCUGGGAAGCUGUUAAACUAAAGCCAGUCCAAAUUGGAACCUUUGGGAGCAAUCUCUGGAAACGCACAUCAACAUAAUUCUUGAGAUACCUUUGUACUUAGUAAUUCUUAAAACC
Mesocricetus auratus (golden hamster) is the source of this 381-nucleotide long non-coding RNA. RefSeq lists it as uncharacterized. The record is from RefSeq and is a predicted model, not a curated record. The transcript is spliced from 3 exons. NCBI's taxonomy places the organism in Eukaryota, Metazoa, Chordata, Mammalia, Rodentia, Cricetidae.